UACGUAGGGUGCAAGCGUUGUCCGGAAUCAUUGGGCGUAAAGCGCGUGUAGGCGGCCCGGUAAGUCCGCUGUGAAAGUCCAGGGCUCAACCCUGGAAUGCCGGUGGAAACUGUCAGGCUCGAGUCCGGAAGAGGCGAGUGGAAUUCCCGGUGUAGCAGUGAAAUGCGUAGAGAUCGGGAGGAACAGCAGUUGCGAAGGCGGCUCUCUGGACCAGUACUGACGCUGAGGCACGAAAGCGUGGGGAGCAAACAGG
RNAcentral lists this ribosomal RNA (253 nucleotides) under uncultured bacterium. RNAcentral's name for it is "partial 16S ribosomal RNA". It matches the Rfam family "Bacterial small subunit ribosomal RNA", at positions 524 to 776 of the family's 1533-position model. The record is from RNAcentral.